AUGAGCUACACUAGCCUAGUAGGAAUAUCACACUAAUCACAAAUACGAAAAACUGAAGAUUGGUAAAAAUCAUAAAAAUAACUAAUAGAUCUCUUACUUUAUUUAAAUACAUUUAAACUUGAAGACAUUUGUUUAAUACUUACCAUUCUAAAAAUGACCUAUGAAGAUCCAUAUUCAUACCACUUUUUACUUUCACACAUAAGAGAACAAGAGACAAUAACUUUCCUUUCUUACUUGCUUACUUGUACUCUUGGGGGUCCAUAUGGAUGUCCCUCCUACUCAGUGAACCCAAUAUCCAAUUUUAUAAUUGACC
RNAcentral lists this long non-coding RNA (313 nucleotides) under Carica papaya (papaya). RNAcentral's name for it is "long non-coding RNA (CPAP_LNC001885)". The record is from RNAcentral. Lineage: Eukaryota; Viridiplantae; Streptophyta; Magnoliopsida; Brassicales; Caricaceae.